AGGAGGACCAUCUGAAAAGGCUGGGAUUCAUGUUGGAGAUAGAUUAGUAGAGGUCAACGGCCUCAGCAUGCAGGGAGCGACGCACCUUGAGGCUGUGAGCGCCUUGAGAAAUACUGGCAGCUGCAUCAAAAUGAAAGUAGUCAGAGAGAGGCUGAUGUCUCAGGAGGGGUGUGACCCAGAUGGGCCUGGAGUACCCCUGGACCUGGGGGGACUGCAGCUGUGUGGCCUGGCCAGUGACAGCCUGAGGAUCAAGCAGCCUAUGAUGGAAACCAUGGAACGUGGUUUGUUUAGGAAGAAUGAGGCCACCAUCUGCAAUGGCAACGGCACGUGCUAUUUUGUCAGUGACCUGAAUAAGACUAAAGUAGAGGCAGAGCCAAUGAAGAAGAAUUCGCUUCUGGGGGGCAAGCAAACAAUGGCAAUCCCCCGGAUCAUCCUCACUCAUCCUUCUACCUCGGAUGAAGACGUGGAGCUCUUGACACAGUUUUCCAGCAGACCACUACUUCAUGACAGUGACAAACCUGACAAAGACAAGUGUUGUGACAGUGCUUUCUAUCCACCUUGACCUCACCCUGGAGCUACAGAGAUAAAAGGCACAGACUGGCAUCAUCCAAUUAUUGCUUAUUAUUUGUCACAGAGAUAUUUUUUUUACUGUAGUUGUGGAGAACCAGUUCAAAGCCACCUGGUCUGGAUUGCUGCUAAAUCUUCUGGUCUUUCAAAACUGAAUUGCUGCUAAUAGCGCCAAAUGACCGCUUGUUGUUUCCUUUUUUAAAGUUUAUUAUGGAUGGAAAAACUAAAGAAUGCUUAAGUACAUGCCCCAAUUAUUGUUAUAGCCAAUUACCCAUCAAAUGAUGCACAGUGCCUCAAUUUGUCCAUUAGCGCACACAUUAGACUAACCACUCGUGACUUUGUGAAGACCUGAAACUUAUUAGUCAAUACAGAAAUAAAAUAAAGUGCAGAAUUGCCA
Molecule: long non-coding RNA, 964 nt
Filed under: Gouania willdenowi (blunt-snouted clingfish)
Lineage: Eukaryota; Metazoa; Chordata; Actinopteri; Blenniiformes; Gobiesocidae
Description: lncRNA (ENSGWIG00000022140.1)
Source: RNAcentral